GACGAACGCUGGCGGCGUGCUUAACACAUGCAAGUCGAACGGAAAGGCCCCUUUGGGGGUACUCGAGUGGCGAACGGGUGAGUAACACGUGAGUAACCUGCCCUUGACUUCGGGAUAACUUCAGGAAACUGGGGCUAAUACCGGAUAGGAAUCCUUGCUGCAUGGUGGGGGUUGGAAAGCUUCGGCGGUUUUGGAUGGACUCGCGGCUUAUCAGCUUGUUGGUGGGGUAGUGGCUUACCAAGGCUUUGACGGGUAGCCGGCCUGAGAGGGCGACCGGCCACAUUGGGACUGAGAUACAGCCCAGACUCCUACGGGAGGCAGCAGUGGGGAAUAUUGCACAAUGGGCGGAAGCCUGAUGCAGCAACGCCGCGUGCGGGAUGACGGCCUUCGGGUUGUAAACCGCUUUCAGCAGGGGCGAAGCUUGUGGUGACGGUACCUGCAGAAGAAGCACCGGCUAACUACGUG
This 465-nucleotide ribosomal RNA is filed under the name uncultured bacterium. Its description in RNAcentral is "partial 16S ribosomal RNA". It matches the Rfam family "Bacterial small subunit ribosomal RNA", at positions 28 to 507 of the family's 1533-position model. The record is from RNAcentral.